Non-coding RNA from Lathyrus oleraceus (garden pea), 805 nucleotides. Lineage: Eukaryota; Viridiplantae; Streptophyta; Magnoliopsida; Fabales; Fabaceae. The record is from RefSeq and is a predicted model, not a curated record.
UACACCAGAUUUACCCUCAACUCGUCCUCACCACUUCUCACAAUCUCUCACAAUUUCAUAGCUCGAAUCUAGUGCUCGAUUGUGAAAAUGGACGCAAGCACAAAGGUGAAGAAGGGAGCAGGAGGAAGAAAAGGAGGAGGACCAAGGAAGAAGGCGGUGACAAGGUCCGUCCGAGCUGGUCUUCAGUUUCCCGUCGGAAGAAUCGGCCGUUUCUUGAAGAAAGGUAGAUAUGCUCAACGUGUUGGUACUGGUGCUCCGGUUUACCUGGCUGCUGUUCUAGAGUAUCUUGCUGCUGAGGUACUUAUUUCCACUUUGAAAUUCUUUGCUACCGAUUUUGAAUUUUGUAAAUUGAUUUUUUGUAUUAUUGAAUUAGAACCUAAUUUUGGAAUUUAUUUUUGUGUGAAGGUUCUUGAGUUGGCUGGAAAUGCUGCACGUGAUAACAAGAAGAAUAGGAUUAGUCCAAGACAUUUGUUGUUGGCUGUGAGGAACGAUGUAGAGCUUGGAAAAUUGCUUGCUGGUGUUACUAUUGCUUAUGGUGGUGUUCUUCCUAAUAUCAACCCUGUGCUUUUGCCUAAGAGGACUGAAAGUGCCGCCAGCGCUCCCAAGUCUCCUUCCAAGGCCAAGAAAACACCCAAGAAAGCUUAGAUAGGUUUAUUCUUUUCUUGUUAUUAUGUGUGUAUAUCUUAGAUUAUGCACCUCUCAUGUGACAUAUAAUUGUUCAAUGUAUACCAAGCUAUGUAAUUUGAAUGCUGUAUUUCUCAGGUAGGAGAUUGAUUCGUUAAUGAAAACGUUUUGUUUUUAAUCA